UUGAAGAAGUUUUGGAUAUAAAUUUAUUUGUCCUUAUUGGCAUUCGGUUAAACCGAAUCGGGCGCGUCCAUGAUCUGGCUUGAUCCGACAGUUAUUAUAUUGUCUAAUUGGAUUAGAAUUAAUAUCACUUUUAAAUUAGAAAGCUAAAUUAGAGAUAUAUUCUGACCAUAUUAGAAUAACAACAUAAACCGACUCGGCCUAAUCUCUUACUUAUCUAUUAGGAUUUUGGAAUCUUUUAUAAAUAUAUGGGCUAUCUCUCAUAAGACAUAACAAGAAAUAAUAGAAUAAUUUAUGAGCCGUCUUGUGAAAGGGAGAAACCACAUCCUCUAUUAACCUAUUAUUCUAGAGGGUCUUGAACAGUGGAUUCGAGAUCGUGCUUGUUUGUAGUAUGAUCUACCGCGGGUUUGAAAUGUUAGAAGAGCUUCGUGGACGAUCCAAAAACACGUGAAUCAACCUCUAUGAUCCAGACUCAUCGCGUUCUAGCGUAAGUCGCU
This 494-nucleotide long non-coding RNA is filed under the name Ananas comosus (pineapple). Its description in RNAcentral is "long non-coding RNA (ACOM_LNC013546)". The record is from RNAcentral. Lineage: Eukaryota; Viridiplantae; Streptophyta; Magnoliopsida; Poales; Bromeliaceae.